GAGGAGAUAUCACCGGAACAGAAAUAGUACUCUCAAAAGCAGAUGUGUCCUUACCUCUUUUGGGCAGUUGACUAGAGGAUACAUUCGGGUUUCUCCUCUUUGCAAACUCAGCUCGCAUUCUCCGAUUUUCAUUAGCUAGUUUUUCGACCCUUAAAGCCAUCUGUACAACUUCUUUAUGAGGCUCCCGGCCUAUCACAGUCAUCCGCUCUCUGAUCUCGUUAUGAAGCCCUUCUUCAAAAUAACUAGCUUGAUCUUGCUCAAACUUCACCAAGUCUGGCACAUAUGACAUCAGCUCAUUAAAACGAGCCUCGUACUCUUCUAUGGUCAAAUUCCCUUGUUG
Molecule: long non-coding RNA, 340 nt
Filed under: Theobroma cacao (cacao)
Lineage: Eukaryota; Viridiplantae; Streptophyta; Magnoliopsida; Malvales; Malvaceae
Description: long non-coding RNA (TCAC_LNC003135)
Source: RNAcentral